UUCUCUCUUUGCCAGUUUGCAUUUGGUUUUUCACCCUUUUUUUUAAUCGAACUGUGUGUUCUAAUGUCUUACCUGAUUUACAGAUUGUGAUUUCUGCUUGCCCUCUGAGUUUGUUUGCUGGUCAACCUGCUUUGCUGCCUAUAUGGUUCUGUUUUUGUCUUCUGCCUUAAAUUGUUCCCAUAAAUAAAGACUGUAAGCAGACAGUUGGCCUGGCAUUGGGUGAGCUGACGACUAGCCUGGUCAUGACUGUAGUCUGUUGUUGGGUACAGACAUUAAUAGGGUUUGAUGGGGAGAGUUGGGCCACAUGUUACAACCUAAUAAUGACGCUGAUUAUUUUCCAGUAAGUUUUGGUGAAGUAAGUACCUGUGUGUGUGUGUAUGUGUGUGAGUGUGUGUGAAAUUUCCCUUUGUUCAAGAAAAAAUCAUACUAAAUCAGUACAGAAAUAAUAACUCAUACACAAACACAAAUAAGACAGGUGAUACAAUGUUAACACACACACACACACACCCCUCAGAUCAACAACAGAUUGUAUGAAAACUGUCCAGGUAGGGUGUCACGGAAGCAGGAGAGGAGGAAGACCCAAGUUUGACUGUGACUAGGCAGGGAGGGAACAAUUUAAGGCAGUUUAUUAUUUAAAAAAAACAAAAACAAAAACAGAACCAUAUAGGCAGCAAAGCAGGUUGACCAGCAAACAAACUCAGAGGGCAAGCAGAAAUCACAAUCUGUAAAUCAGUGGAUCAGCCAUGGACAAAGGUUUGCUGCUGGUCCUGUUGUGUCUGCAGGUCGUCCUGCUCACCACAGUCUUCACUUCUGCUGAUGCAGCCGCUCUGCUGAGAGAUGAUCAGCAUCAACAACCUGUUGAUCCAAUCAGAAGUCUGCAGCAAGUGAAAAAAGGAGGACAGACGGAGCAGAAACUUCCAUACUGGAUAUUCUGUGGGAGGAGACGAGGAGGAUGCACUUUGACAGGACGUGUGCAACCUCCUGAACCAUCUUUUGACCACAUCAAGUCACACUCAAUAGACAUCUUGAGUCAAGCUCUGCAGGAAGUGCCAUUAGAUGCAAAAGACAGAAAAUGAAUGAAGAUAAUUGUAAUGCUUACAAAUCAAUGCAAGUGCUUUUUAUCAGAAAUAAAA
Molecule: long non-coding RNA, 1133 nt
Organism: Amphiprion ocellaris (clown anemonefish)
Lineage: Eukaryota; Metazoa; Chordata; Actinopteri; Pomacentridae
Source: Ensembl